GAUGAACGCUGGCGGCGUGCCUAAUACAUGCCAGUCGAGCGAACGGACGAGAAGCUUGCUUCUCUGAUGUUAGCGGCGGACGGGUGAGUAACACGUGGAUAACCUACCUAUAAGACUGGGAUAACUUCGGGAAACCGGAGCUAAUACCGGAUGAUAUUUUGAACCGCAUGGUUCAAAAGUGAAAGACGGUCUUGCUGUCACUUAUAGAUGGAUCCGCGCUGCAUUAGCUAGUUGGUAAGGUAACGGCUUACCAAGGCAACGAUGCAUAGCCGACCUGAGAGGGUGAUCGGCCACACUGGAACUGAGACACGGUCCAGACUCCUACGGGAGGCAGCAGUAGGGAAUCUUCCGCAAUGGGCGAAAGCCUGACGGAGCAACGCCGCGUGAGUGAUGAAGGUCUUCGGAUCGUAAAACUCUGUUAUUAGGGAAGAACAUAUGUGUAAGUAUCUGUGCACAUCUUGACGGUACCUAAUCAGAAAGCCACGGCUAACUACGUG
Molecule: ribosomal RNA, 497 nt
Filed under: uncultured bacterium
Lineage: Bacteria
Description: partial 16S ribosomal RNA
Rfam family: Bacterial small subunit ribosomal RNA
Source: RNAcentral